UGCCCUUCCUCUCUUUCAAGGAAUAUUGCAGCCCUAAUUCUUCACCCCCUUCUCCCUCCCAACAGACUCCUAUUUAUACUCCAUAACCAACUCCUAUUUAUACUCUAACUAACUUUCUCUCUCCAUAACAAACUCCUACUUAUGCUCUAUUAUUUUAUUAUGGAAGCAUCUACUAACAAUAUUAAAACUAUUAAGGCUAUUCUCCCUAGCAC
RNAcentral lists this long non-coding RNA (212 nucleotides) under Cucumis sativus (cucumber). RNAcentral's name for it is "long non-coding RNA (CSAT_LNC001473)". The record is from RNAcentral. Lineage: Eukaryota; Viridiplantae; Streptophyta; Magnoliopsida; Cucurbitales; Cucurbitaceae.